AAGGCCUGAUGUGUGUGAGAUUACCCGCUGAAUUUAAGCAUAUAAGUAAGCGGAGGAGAAGAAACUAACUAGGAUUCCCUUAGUAAUGGCGAAUGAACAGGGAUCAGCUCAGUGCCAAAUCGGAAUCACUUGUGGUUCUGAAAUGUGGCUUGAAGGCAGUACCAGUGGCAUCGCGGACGAAAG
This 183-nucleotide non-coding RNA is filed under the name Perkinsus marinus ATCC 50983. RNAcentral describes it as "Eukaryotic large subunit ribosomal RNA". It matches the Rfam family "Eukaryotic large subunit ribosomal RNA", at positions 1 to 185 of the family's 3401-position model. The record is from Rfam by way of RNAcentral. Lineage: Eukaryota; Perkinsozoa; Perkinsida; Perkinsidae.